Molecule: ribosomal RNA, 238 nt
Filed under: uncultured bacterium
Lineage: Bacteria
Description: partial 16S ribosomal RNA
Rfam family: Bacterial small subunit ribosomal RNA
Source: RNAcentral
UACGGAGGGGGUUAGCGUUGUUCGGAAUUACUGGGCGUAAAGCGCACGUAGGCGGAUUAGUAAGUUAGAGGUGAAAUCCCAGGGUCAACCCUGGAACUGCCUUUAAUACUGCUAGUCUUGAGUUCGAGAGAGGUAAGUGGAAUUCCGAGUGUAGAGGUGAAAUUCGUAGAUAUUCGGAGGAACACCAGUGGCGAAGGCGGCUUACUGGCUCGAUACUGACGCUGAGGUGCGAAAGUGU